This 2060-nucleotide long non-coding RNA is filed under the name Equus asinus (donkey). RNAcentral describes it as "lncRNA (ENSEASG00005036322.1)". Lineage: Eukaryota; Metazoa; Chordata; Mammalia; Perissodactyla; Equidae. The record is from RNAcentral.
ACCCAGGAUUCUGUACCACUUCAGGAAAUCCUCAGUGUAACUAUUUGGGCCAAGGAUGCCCAAAUUCAAGCCCGGCCCCAAUUUUUAUAACUGACAUGUCUCGGCAGUAAUAUCUAUAUCCUCGUCCAAAGAAAGGCCAAUGAGGAUUUACUCUUACUUAAAAAAAAAAAAACACAAAAAAUCUUAUGGCUUUGCUGAUUGCAAGCAAGAAAGCUAGUUGGAUUUGAGGCAACCUCAAGCAGUUAAUGAACAAGUAUUGUGGCUUGUCCAAGGGAUUGAGUUUUCUGAAUAACAAAGCAGACUGAGGUUGUAGGCUGUUUCCAGGGGCAGCAGUGUGAGGGAUGUCGUUGGGAUCCCACUGUUGAAGUCUCCAGGACCAGUCAAUGGUUUUUGGGAACCAUUACUUUCUGGCAGGCAAAACAUGUGAAGACCAUCCCAGGAAAGCCAGGACAUGCGGAAGUCCUGCAUUAAAACCACAAAACAAAUAACUCAAGAAAAACGGCGUGGUUCUAGCUUUGUAACCCUCAACACAGCACUAGACACUCUGGGCGGCCACCUCCUCGUCAGCACCCUGGGGACGAGCAGAGCACCUCCUGCUCACACUCUGUGGUGGUGUCACCCGCCACCUUAGAAACCGAGCCUGUUUCCACUAGAGCUUGUGAGGAGCUACUUCACCUCUUUGAGACUCAGUUUCCUUAUCUGUAAGAAAGAACAUAAAAUUGGGAGAAGCCAUCUUGAGCAGGGAAAAACACAGACUUUGGAGACAGGCAGACAGGCAGUCUUAAAUCUCAGCCCUGGGUGACCCAAAGCAGGUUACUUGACCUCGGAGUUUUACUUCCUUCGCCUGCAAAAUGCAGAUGAGAAUGUCUGCUGUAAGGGCUGUGGAAGGACUGUGGUCAUGCCACCUCUCAGUAGGGGCAAAAUAAACAUUGGCUUCCUUCCUUCGUUCCUGUUUCACAUUCAGCAAAUCUGAGAGAGAAGGAUGUGAACAUACUGAAAUGUUUGUGGGGGAAAAAAAAAAUUAGGGGCCGGCCUGGUGGCAUAGUGGUUGGUUCGGCAUGCUCCACUUUGGUGGCCUGGGGUUCGUGUGUUCAGAUCCCAGGCGCAGACCUACACACUGCUCCUCAAGCCAUGCUGUGGCAGUGACCCACAAACAAAAUAGAGAAAGUCUGGCAUGGAUGUUCGUUCUGAGCUAAUCUUCCUCAAGCAAAAAGAGGAAGAUUGGCAACAGAUGUUAGCUCAGGGCUAAUCAUCCUCACCAAAACAAAAUAAGUUAAACCCUCAACAGAAUGCUAUCAGAAGCUUUUACAUCAGAUAUAUUCGCCCACAUUUCCCUCUUCCAACAUAAGAGGGCCCACCUGCUGACCAACACUGCCCAUCUCUGAGGUUAUCAGAGGGCGCCUGAAAGAGUGAGGACAAGAGGCUGCAGGGAGCGAUGGGCACCAAGCACAGGAAGCACUGUUCCAAGAGGGAAAAUACGUGGUCCUGACACACGGUCCUGUUGGGCACCAUCUCCAAUGGGCUCUGCGACAGCAUGAGGAGGCCUGAGGAAACAGUCUGGGUCCCCGGCCAGCAGGUAUGAGAAGUCCCCAGGCUGGGAGACUUGACCAUGAAGGAGCAGUGAGCUCCCUAACCUCAAGGCAGCUCCACAGCAGAGCUGAGACCUGGCCUCCGAGGCAGCGCAGGAGCAGGAGGUCUGACUCCAGGAGCAGUUUCAGCUCUAACUUCACCACCAGAAGAAAGACUCUUAUCACACGAAAACAUUCACAGGCUUCCAAAGCCAGCUCUGGGAGAAGGUCCCCUCAGGGGAACAGGCCAUGCCCAUGAGCAGAGCUCAGGGAGGGACCCCCUCACAGCAGGGAAAAGAUGCUGCAGCGUGACCAGUCUCACCAGCACGCUUCCUGGGUCCCCAGCCUUCCCCUGAGCCAGGUCUGGAACAGGUGGCCCAGCCCAGGCUGUCCUGCUCCAGAAGCAGCUCCAGGGGCAGUGGGUUCCCCGCACUGACAAGACUCAUCAUUCAGAACAUGGCCACAGACCCGUCUGCUCCUCGUGAGGAGAAU